UUGGCGGCAAGAUAGCCCCUUAGAGGAACCUGCCCUGUAAACGAUGAACCACGAGUACCUUACUUUUCUUGGUAAUUCAGUUUGUAUAUCGCUGUUGUCAGUCAGAUUCUGGAGAAUAUUUUCGAACUUGAUAAAUUCAUUGACUUCAAGUAAAGGUGCAGCUUAUAGAAAAGAUAGAGGUGGGUUACAUUUAUAAGAUUAAUACGGAUUGGAUAAAAGAAUUAUUCUAUGAAGGUGGAUUUAACUGUAAAACUAAUAUAAGUUUGGUGAGAGCUCUAUCUUGUGUACACA
This 291-nucleotide ribosomal RNA is filed under the name Tetraclitella karandei. RNAcentral's name for it is "partial 12S ribosomal RNA". The record is from RNAcentral. Lineage: Eukaryota; Metazoa; Arthropoda; Thecostraca; Balanomorpha; Tetraclitidae.